This 638-nucleotide ribosomal RNA is filed under the name Micromonospora sp. Ri1Ps_4634. RNAcentral describes it as "bacterial SSU rRNA". It matches the Rfam family "Bacterial small subunit ribosomal RNA", at positions 378 to 1028 of the family's 1533-position model. Lineage: Bacteria; Bacillati; Actinomycetota; Actinomycetes; Micromonosporales; Micromonosporaceae. The record is from RNAcentral.
GGAGCCUGAUGCAGCGACGCCGCGUGAGGGAUGACGGCCUUCGGGUUGUAAACCUCUUUCAGCAGGGACGAAGCGCAAGUGACGGUACCUGCAGAAGAAGCACCGGCCAACUACGUGCCAGCAGCCGCGGUAAGACGUAGGGUGCGAGCGUUGUCCGGAUUUAUUGGGCGUAAAGAGCUCGUAGGCGGCUUGUCGCGUCGACCGUGAAAACUUGGGGCUCAACCCCAAGCCUGCGGUCGAUACGGGCAGGCUAGAGUUCGGUAGGGGAGACUGGAAUUCCUGGUGUAGCGGUGAAAUGCGCAGAUAUCAGGAGGAACACCGGUGGCGAAGGCGGGUCUCUGGGCCGAUACUGACGCUGAGGAGCGAAAGCGUGGGGAGCGAACAGGAUUAGAUACCCUGGUAGUCCACGCUGUAAACGUUGGGCGCUAGGUGUGGGGGGCCUCUCCGGUUCUCUGUGCCGCAGCUAACGCAUUAAGCGCCCCGCCUGGGGAGUACGGCCGCAAGGCUAAAACUCAAAGGAAUUGACGGGGGCCCGCACAAGCGGCGGAGCAUGCGGAUUAAUUCGAUGCAACGCGAAGAACCUUACCUGGGUUUGACAUGGCCGCAAAACUUCCAGAGAUGGGAGGUCCUUCGGGGGC